RNAcentral lists this ribosomal RNA (174 nucleotides) under uncultured bacterium. RNAcentral describes it as "partial 16S ribosomal RNA". It matches the Rfam family "Bacterial small subunit ribosomal RNA", at positions 335 to 526 of the family's 1533-position model. The record is from RNAcentral.
ACUCCUACGGGAGGCAGCAGUAAGGAAUUUUCGUCAAUGGGGGAAACCCUGAACGAGCAACGCCGCGUGGAGGACGACGGUCUUCGGAUUGUAAACUCCUUUUAUACGGGACGAUAAUGACGGUACCGUAGGAAUAAGCCCCGGCUAACUCUGUGCCAGCAGCCGCGGUAAUAC